RNAcentral lists this ribosomal RNA (253 nucleotides) under uncultured bacterium. Its description in RNAcentral is "partial 16S ribosomal RNA". It matches the Rfam family "Bacterial small subunit ribosomal RNA", at positions 524 to 776 of the family's 1533-position model. The record is from RNAcentral.
GACGAACCGUCCAAACGUUAUUCGGAAUCACUGGGCUUACAGAGUUCGUAGGCGGUCUGGAAAGUUGGGUGUGAAAUCCCUCGGCUCAACCGAGGAACUGCGCUUGAAACUACCAGACUCGAGGGAGAUAGAGGAAAACGGAACUGAUGGUGGAGCGGUGAAAUGCGUUGAUAUCAUCAGGAACACCGGUGGCGAAGGCGGCUUUCUGGGUCUUACCUGACGCUGAGGAACGAAAGCCAGGGGAGCGAACGGG